GCUGGGAAUGGUGGCGGAUGCCUGUAAUCCCAGCUACUUGGGAGGCUGAGGCAGGAGAAUUGCUUGAGCCCGGGAGGCAGAGGCUGCAGUGAGCAGAGAUCAUGCCACUGCACUCCAGCCUGGGCGACAGAGCGAGACUCUGUCUCAA
Molecule: signal recognition particle RNA, 148 nt
Filed under: Homo sapiens (human)
Lineage: Eukaryota; Metazoa; Chordata; Mammalia; Primates; Hominidae
Description: Metazoan signal recognition particle RNA
Rfam family: Metazoan signal recognition particle RNA
About the family: The signal recognition particle (SRP) is a universally conserved ribonucleoprotein. It is involved in the co-translational targeting of proteins to membranes.
Source: Rfam by way of RNAcentral